This 253-nucleotide ribosomal RNA is filed under the name uncultured bacterium. RNAcentral describes it as "partial 16S ribosomal RNA". It matches the Rfam family "Bacterial small subunit ribosomal RNA", at positions 524 to 776 of the family's 1533-position model. The record is from RNAcentral.
GACGGAGGAUGCAAGUGUUAUCCGGAAUCACUGGGCGUAAAGGGUGCGUAGGCGGGUCUUUAAGUCAGGGGUGAAAUCCUGGAGCUCAACUCCAGAACUGCCUUUGAUACUGAAGAUCUUGAGUCCGGGAGAGGUGAGUGGAACUGCGAGUGUAGAGGUGAAAUUCGUAGAUAUUCGCAAGAACACCAGUGGCGAAGGCGGCUCACUGGCCCGGAACUGACGCUGAGGUGCGAAAGCGUGGGGAGCAAACAGG